AACGAACGCUGGCGGCAGGCCUAACACAUGCAAGUCGAGCGCGCCCUUCGGGUGAGCGGCGGACGGGUUAGUAACGCGUGGGAAUAUGCCCAAAGGUACGGAAUAGCCUCUGGAAACGGAGAGUAAUACCGUAUGUGCCCUUCGGGGAAAGAUUUAUCGCCUUUGGAUUAGCCCGCGUUAGAUUAGGUAGUUGGUGGGGUAAUGGCCUACCAAGCCUACGAUCUAUAGCUGGUUUUAGAGGAUGAUCAGCAAACACUGGGACGUGAGACACGGCCCAGACUCCUACGGGAGGCAGCAGUGGGGAAGUCUUGGACAAUGGGGGCGAACCCUGAUCCAGCCAUGCCGCGUGAGUGAUGAAGGCCUUAGGGUCGUAAAGCUCUUUCGCCUGUGAAGAUAAUGACGGUAGCAGGUAAAGAAACCCCGGCUAACUCCGUCGCCAGCCGCCGCGGUAAU
RNAcentral lists this ribosomal RNA (453 nucleotides) under uncultured Alphaproteobacteria bacterium. Its description in RNAcentral is "bacterial SSU rRNA". It matches the Rfam family "Bacterial small subunit ribosomal RNA", at positions 29 to 524 of the family's 1533-position model. Lineage: Bacteria; Pseudomonadati; Pseudomonadota; Alphaproteobacteria. The record is from RNAcentral.